AACGAACGCUGGCGGCAUGCCUAACACAUGCAAGUCGAACGAGAUCCUUCGGGGUCUUGUGGCGCACGGGUGCGUAAUGCCUGGGAAUCUGCCCUUAGAUUCGGUCUAACAGUUAGAACUGACUGCUAAUACCGGAUGAUGACGUUCAAUCCAAAAAUUUAUCGCAUGAGUUUGAGCCCGCGUAGGAUUAGCUAGUUGGUGUGGUAAAGGCGCACCAAGGCGACGAUCCUUAGCUGGUCUGAGAGGAUGAUCAGCCACACUGGGACUGAGACACGGCCCAGCCUCCUACGGGAGGCAGCAGUGGGGAAUAUGGGACAAUGGGCGCAAGCCUGAGCCAGCAAGGCGGCGGGAGUGAUGAAGGCCUUAGGGUGGUAAAGCCCGUUUACCCGGGAGGAUAAUGACAGUACCGGGAGAAUAAGCCCCGGCUAACUCCGUG
This 436-nucleotide ribosomal RNA is filed under the name uncultured bacterium. Its description in RNAcentral is "partial 16S ribosomal RNA". It matches the Rfam family "Bacterial small subunit ribosomal RNA", at positions 29 to 507 of the family's 1533-position model. The record is from RNAcentral.